CUGUGGCUGAGAAAUAAAAAUGAGGUCAAGCAGGGUGUUCUUGUCUGUAGUGGCAGAAGUGAUCAGCUGUGAAUACCCUCUUGACUGAAACUGCUCCAGAAUCUGUUUUCUUCCACUCUGUAACUGGUUCUCAUUAAAAUCUCCACACACAAUUAUUGGGUGACAGUCCAUUAUUUCAAGUGAAUCUAAAAGACUUACCAGGUUUUGCAUGAAUGGUGUCAAACUGUAGUCAGGAGGUCUGUGUUCUUGUCUGUAGUGGCAGAAGUGAUCAGCUGUGAAUACCCUCUCGACUGAAACUGCUCCAGAAUCUGUUUUCUUCCACUCUGUAACUGGUUCUCAUUAAAAUCUCCACACACAAUUAUUGGGUGACAGUCCAUUAUUUCAAGUGAAUCUAAAAGACUUACCAGGUUUUGCAUGAACGGUGUCAAACUGUAGUCUGGAGGUCUGUACACAACAGCAAUGAGCGCAGGGAAUGGAGCCUGAACCUUCAACACUAAAAACUCAAGAUCAGUGACAUUAUGCAGAUACUGUUUUACCUGAACCUGAAAAUGAUUCCUCAAAUACACAACAACUCCACCACCACUUCUGCUGGCCAUGUGAGGAAAGUUUGUGUAGGACACAUGUCUGUUGCGUUUGAACAUGGUGUAGCCGUCCAAAUGAAGACUGUCUGCAACAAAGGAGCCUUGGAGGUGAGACUCAGUGAGACACAAAACAUCUGCUAAACACAUUUCAUGAUGACUCUUGAUGUCACUGAUGUGAGAUGGCAAACCCUCCGUAUUGUGAUGGAUCAGUGUAAGAGUGUCAAGUCUGUUGGCUGUUUCUCUGACCUGAAGAAGAGGCAUCAUUUCCUCAACACUGGCUUGUCUCAUGGUUUGAGCGCUGCAGUUACCUCAGGAUUGGCGUAAAUCUUUUUCUCAUCCAAGUCCUGCAAAUAGAGUCCACUGAGAGACGUCACCCUGCUGAGAGCAACAUAAGCCAUACCUGGUUCAAAAAUGUUCUUCAUUGAAACUACAGCUGUCUGUGUUGU
This is a long non-coding RNA of Oreochromis aureus, 1027 nucleotides long. The record is from Ensembl. Lineage: Eukaryota; Metazoa; Chordata; Actinopteri; Cichliformes; Cichlidae.